GGAUAAUGGUAGCCAAACUCCCACGGCCUCUUUAGGCCUCCCCUGGGGCCCUGAGGCCAGCAAGAGGGCAGGUCAGGGAGGGGCCAGGAGGAGGAGCAGGCAGGGAGGCUGCUGGUGCCUUUGGCUCAGCCAGUGGGGCUCUCAGCCCUCUGGAGUGUGCCCUAGGGACCAGUUUGUCCAUGCCCCUGCCUCCAGGCCAGUCACUAGGACCAACAGAUGUCCCAAGGAAGACACCGGCCAUGACUGCAUCCUGGAACCAUAUCAAACUGGCAGCACUUACUUCUCUGGACUUGUUUUUGUUUCACCAAAUUUGCUGGAUCUGUUGGUGAACAGUCUCAGACUGCAAAGCAAGUCAGCACUACCACAGAGGGAAUCCCAAACUCGCUGCUGAGAACAGAACAGCUGUGCCCUCGCCGACUGGGACCCGAGUGACAUCUACUGGAGCAAGCAGGGGCUGCACGUGAGCAGGCAGCCAUUCGGUCACUCCCCGUCAUUCCAACACAAUCGAAUUUGUGUAGAAAAUUUACAUGCAUCAUAGGCUAUUUAUGAAUAUAUGCACACGUAGAAAGAGGAAAAAUACGCUUGGAAAUGGUAAACAUAACUUCAAGAUAGUAGUUACCCUUGGGUUCGGUAGGGGUGAAGGAGUGGUAAGGGUUUUAGUUUUAUCUUUAACCAUUUCUUUUUUCACUUACUUAUUUGUAGAGAUGGGAGUCUCACUAUGUUGCCCAGGGUAGUCCUGGUCUCAAGCAAUCCUCCCACCUUGGCUUCCCAAAAUGCUGGGAUUACAGGCGUGAGACACCAUGCCUGGCCACAAUUUGGUUUCUCUUUCAAAAGAUCCGAUACCAGUGUGCCAAAGUAUUGACAUCUAUUAAAUCUUUCAGGUGGUCCUACUGAGGUCUGUUUUUCUGUGCUUAUCUCUAAGUUUAAAAUCGUUCAUAAUAAACAUAUAGUUUAUAUUAAUAGUAAUAAUAUACAGUAUAUAUUAUACUAUAUAUUUAUUAUAUAGUAUAUACUUUAUAUUCAUUAUAUAUUGUAUACUUACAUUUAUGGAAGGAAAAUAAAAAACAAAAAUGGAAAAUUUGUGGUCCAGAUUCUUGGUCCCAAUGGUAGCAGGGCAGUUUAAUAGCAAAAGUUCUUAAUACUUGUUGGCUGCUGUUACCAUCAUUAAUAAGUAUCCUGGAGUUUACUGGAGUAACUGAACAGCAGUCGAAGCUCAUGUAUAGGCUAGAGGAGAAUCACGCUCUUCAACAGUAGUGACAAGAUGAAGAUACACUGAGAAGACUCAUUUAUUUGCUAUUAUUGAAAAAUUGUUCAUACCCCAUAGGAAGAUGUGGCAUAGAACAUCAGAAUGUUCUUAGAAUUGGGAAACUCUCAGGUAGGAGGCUGAAAGAGAAAGCCAAAAUGACUAUUUUAUUUCCAGAUUAAAG
This 1427-nucleotide long non-coding RNA is filed under the name Homo sapiens (human). RNAcentral describes it as "HSALNT0133141". The record is from RNAcentral. Lineage: Eukaryota; Metazoa; Chordata; Mammalia; Primates; Hominidae.